Molecule: ribosomal RNA, 495 nt
Filed under: uncultured bacterium
Lineage: Bacteria
Description: partial 16S ribosomal RNA
Rfam family: Bacterial small subunit ribosomal RNA
Source: RNAcentral
GACGAACGCUGGCGGCGUGCCUAAUACAUGCAAGUCGAACGCUGAAGGAGGAGCUUGCUUCUCUGGAUGAGUUGCGAACGGGUGAGUAACGCGUAGGUAACCUGCCUGGUAGCGGGGGAUAACUAUUGGAAACGAUAGCUAAUACCGCAUAAUAGCAGUUGUUGCAUGACAACUGUUUGAAAGGUGCAAUUGCACCACUACCAGAUGGACCUGCGUUGUAUUAGCUAGUUGGUGGGGUAACGGCUCACCAAGGCGACGAUACAUAGCCGACCUGAGAGGGUGGUCAGCCACACUGGGACUGAGACACGGCCCAGACUCCUACGGGAGGCAGCAGUAGGGAAUCUUCGGCAAUGGACGGAAGUCUGACCGAGCAACGCCGCGUGAGUGAAGAAGGUUUUCGGAUCGUAAAGCUCUGUUGUAAGGGAAGAACGAGUGUGAGAGUGGAAAGUUCACACUGUGACGGUAUCUUACCAGAAAGGGACGGCUAACUACGUG